This 448-nucleotide ribosomal RNA is filed under the name uncultured bacterium. RNAcentral's name for it is "bacterial SSU rRNA". It matches the Rfam family "Bacterial small subunit ribosomal RNA", at positions 329 to 794 of the family's 1533-position model. The record is from RNAcentral.
UCCCAGACUCCUACGGGAGGCAGCAGCGGGGAAUAUUGCACAAUGGGGGGAACCCUGAUGCAGCGACGCCGCGUGGGUGAAGGAGCACCUCGGUGCGUAAAGCCCUAUCGGCAGGGAAGAAAAUGACGGUACCUGAAGAAGAAGCCCCGGCUAACUACGUGCCAGCAGCCGCGGUAAUACGUAGGGGGCAAGCGUUAUCCGGAUUUACUGGGUGGAAAGGGGGCGCAGACGGCGAUGCAAGCCAGGAGUGAAAGCCCGGGGCCCAACCCCGGGACUGCUCUUGGAACUGCGUGGCUGGAGUGCAGGAGGGGCAGGCGGAAUUCCUGGUGUAGCGGUGAAAUGCGUAGAUAUCAGGAGGAACACCGGUGGCGAAGGCGGCCUGCUGGACUGCAACUGACGUUGAGGCCCGAAAGCGUGGGGAGCAAACAGGAUUAGAUACCCUCGUAAA